UAGAAUUUAGAAAGUUAGAACUCAGAAAGGCAAUUAGGGCAAAUGGCGUCGGCGUCUCGGCGAUAUUUUCAGCUUCAGGCUUUCAAUUAGGGUUAUAGUUUCAGAAAUUCAAAAACGGGCAAACGAAGACCGGCUGUUGUGACUUUAAAAAGAUCGGUUGUUGUGACUUCAAAGAAUCAAAGCAUUGUUUGAAGUUUGAACUUUGAUGUAUAGUUGCAACUUGCAAUAUGAGUGGUGCUCCUAAAGUACACUCUCAUAUUUGGGAAUACUUUGAGGUGAAAGAAGAUAACGGAGAAGUUCGCAAAGUAGAGUGCAAACAUUGUGCUCGAAUCUAUAAUGUCCAUUCAAAGAGGGAUGACACAUAUUGUUUAAGGAAGCAUAUUAGGCAUUGUUUUGAGCGUCUUCUUGAAAUCCGUAUUUAAGAAUUAAGACUAAGUUGAUUCGAGACUAUUAGUGUGAACUUGAAUUGAGGGAUGCUCUCUGUUUUUGUUGUUUUUGUUGCACUAUUAUGUGUUUAAUUCUGCUGCUUGUUAGAGUCUGCUGCUACUGUUAAUUAUGUUACUGCUACUGUUAAUGCUGCUACUGUUAAGUGUUAAUUCUGCUACUGUUAUUCUGUUAA
This is a long non-coding RNA of Nicotiana tabacum (common tobacco), 619 nucleotides long. RefSeq lists it as uncharacterized. The record is from RefSeq and is a predicted model, not a curated record. NCBI's taxonomy places the organism in Eukaryota, Viridiplantae, Streptophyta, Magnoliopsida, Solanales, Solanaceae.